GGCUCGUUGGUCUAGGGGUAUGAUUCUCGCUUUGGGUGCGAGAGGUCUCGGAUUCAAAUCCCGGACGAGCCC
Molecule: transfer RNA, 72 nt
Filed under: Saccoglossus kowalevskii
Lineage: Eukaryota; Metazoa; Hemichordata; Enteropneusta; Harrimaniidae
Description: tRNA-Pro
Rfam family: tRNA
About the family: Transfer RNA (tRNA) molecules are approximately 80 nucleotides in length.
Source: RNAcentral